Molecule: ribosomal RNA, 433 nt
Filed under: uncultured bacterium
Lineage: Bacteria
Description: partial 16S ribosomal RNA
Rfam family: Bacterial small subunit ribosomal RNA
Source: RNAcentral
AAUGAACGCUGGCGGCAUGCCUAACACAUGCAAGUCGAGCGAGCAUUUCGGUGCUAGCGGCGGACGGGUGAGUAACGCGUGGGGACGUGCCCUUUUCUGCGGAAUAGUCCUGGGAAACUGGGGGUAAUACCGCAUACGCCCUUUUGGGGAACGAUUUAUCGGAGAAGGAUCGGCCCGCGUUGGAUUAGGUAGUUGGUGGGGUAAUGGCCCACCAAGCCGACGAUCCAUAGCUGGUUUGAGAGGAUGAUCAGCCACACUGGGACUGAGACACGGCCCAGACUCCUACGGGAGGCAGCAGUGGGGAAUCUUAGACAAUGGGGGCAACCCUGAUAUAGCCAGGCCGGGUGAGUGAUGAAGGCCUUAGGGUUGUAAAGCUCUUUCAGCUGGGAAGAUAAUGACGGUACCAGCAGAAGAAGCCCCGGCUAACUACGUG